GGUGGGAGCGAGCCUGCUCGCGAUAGCGGUAUAUCAGUUGGCAUUUGAGUUGACUGACCCAGCGCCAUCGCGAGCAGGCUCGCUCCCACC
This 90-nucleotide unclassified non-coding RNA is filed under the name Pseudomonas sp. A214. The record is from RNAcentral. Lineage: Bacteria; Pseudomonadati; Pseudomonadota; Gammaproteobacteria; Pseudomonadales; Pseudomonadaceae.